CACGUAGUUAGCCGGGGCUUCUUACUCAGGUACCGUCCUUUUUUCUUCCCUGCUGAUAGAGCUUUACGUACCGAAAUACUUCUUCACUCACGCGGCGUCGCUGCAUCAGGGUUCCCCCCAUUGUGCAACAUUCCCCACUGCUGCCUCCCGUAGGAGUCUGGGCCGUGUCUCAGUCCCAAUGUGGCCGUCCGCCCUCUCAGGCCGGCUACUGAUCGUCGCCUUGGUAGGCCGUUACCCUCCCAACCAGCUAAUCAGAUGCGGGCCCAUCUUAUACCACCUCAGUUUUUCACACUGCGUCAUGCGCCGCUGUGCGCUUAUGCGGUAUUAGCAGCUGUUUCCAGCUGUUAUCCCCCUGUAUAAGGCAGGUUGCCCACGCGUUACUCACCCGUCCGCCACUAGAAUAUGACUUCUUCCAUUCUGCAAGCAGCUCUUCCGAUGUCUUAUCCCCGUUCGACUUGCAUGUGUUAAGCACGCCGCCAGCGUUCAU
This 487-nucleotide ribosomal RNA is filed under the name uncultured Lachnospiraceae bacterium. RNAcentral's name for it is "partial 16S ribosomal RNA". Lineage: Bacteria; Bacillati; Bacillota; Clostridia; Lachnospirales; Lachnospiraceae. The record is from RNAcentral.